RNAcentral lists this ribosomal RNA (254 nucleotides) under uncultured bacterium. RNAcentral describes it as "partial 16S ribosomal RNA". It matches the Rfam family "Bacterial small subunit ribosomal RNA", at positions 524 to 776 of the family's 1533-position model. The record is from RNAcentral.
UACGAAGGGGGCUAGCGUUGCUCGGAAUCACUGGGCGUAAAGAGCUCGUAGGCGGCUCAGUAAGUCAGGUGUGAAAACUCCAGGCUCAACCUGGAGACGCCACCUGAUACUGCUGUGGCUAGAGUCCGGUAGGGGAGCAUGGAAUUCCUGGUGUAGCGGUGAAAUGCGCAGAUAUCAGGAGGAACACCAGUGGCGAAGGCGGUGCUCUGGGCCGGAACUGACGCUGAGGAGCGAAAGCGUGGGGAGCGAACAGG